CGUUUACUGUUCAUCCUCUAGCUUUCGAUCAAAUUAAUGGCUUCCAAGGAGUUAGUUGAAUCACACAAAAUUUACAUAUAUGAUACUUCAGAUGAGGAUCUUGAGGACACGGCUUGCUCUAUUUUGAAAAAUGGAAAACGAAUAGUUGCACCAACAAAAAGAAAAUUUUCUUCGUAUGAAUUAUUCGUUAAAAAGACUGCAUGCUCAUGCAAUAAGGAAAAAAUCAAUUGGAAUAAAUUUGAGAGUAGUAACAACCCUGAAAAUGAUGAAGAAGAUGAUCUGUGGCCGUCUCCCACACCAAAGAGAAGAAAGAUAUUGAUUGGACCUACUCAUUUUGUCAUUCUAACAGGAAAAGAUGAUCUGAUGCAUAUGACCUUUAAGAGAAUCAUAUGCAUUUUUGUUUGUAAUAUCUCUUGAAUAUUUUCGCAGAGUGAAUGAUUAAUUCAU
Molecule: long non-coding RNA, 447 nt
Organism: Phalaenopsis equestris
Lineage: Eukaryota; Viridiplantae; Streptophyta; Magnoliopsida; Asparagales; Orchidaceae
Exons: 3
Source: RefSeq, a predicted model, not a curated record